RNAcentral lists this microRNA precursor (122 nucleotides) under Xyrichtys novacula (pearly razorfish). The record is from RNAcentral. Lineage: Eukaryota; Metazoa; Chordata; Actinopteri; Labriformes; Labridae.
GCUAAGCUACACCUGUGCCAAAUUUGGCGCUUUUAGACAAAAGUGAACGAAUCCACCCUAAAAGGGAUAUUUUCGUUCACUUUUGUCUAGAAGUGCCAAAUUUGGCACAGGUGUAGCUCAUG